AUGGUGCUGCAGGCUGGCCAGUGAGACAGGUGAAGUGAAGCUGUGUGGUGGCUGAUGGCAGGGAGGGGUGGGGCUCCAGAGGCCCACACCACAAUACAUAAAUAUGUGCAUGUGCAUUACAUCCUGUUACCGUGAAUCUGCCUUUAGCUGUGUGUUAGUUUGCAGUACUGUGGGAAGUUUGUAACAGAUAAUCAAAAGGAAAUAAGAAAAGUCGCUGUCCACUCUGAAAAAUGUAUGUUGCCUUUUACAUCUUUACUUUUGGUGGUGGCCAAACAUCCUACAGCACAGAAAACUAACUGGCUGUCCACUCUGAAAGAUGGCAGCUGCACGUCUAAUAUGGGAUAGGAGGGUUAAGCCCAGAGAACAGAUCAUAGAAAAGGUAGAUGAGCCCUUUGCCCCAAUUCAGAGAACUUGCAGUAUAAGAAAAGGGGACAUUUGGGUCAGAAUUACAUCUGUAGAACAGUCAGAGUUCAGUCCAGCAGGAUGUUUAAUUUUCAGGAUUGUGGUGUUUCUGAAAGGAUUGUGAAUAAAAUGGUAUUUUAUUCUGCUGGUAAAGCCGGGCAUUAACUAUUGGCCGUUAGGGUAUGUGUGUACAUCUUGGUGGGAGAGUGUCCAUCUGAACAACAUGUGAGCUGCUGUUUAGAUGCAGUGUUACAUCGUUUAGUUUAGUCACUCUUCUGUGGUUCCAGUCUCAAGUCAUAGUCUGGAUAUUAUACCUUUGUAAGCAGACAUGUUGUGUGGAAUAGCCUGAUUCAGAGACCAAUGUUCUGGCUCUAGCUCCUAUCAUCUAAAGGAUGACAUCAUUUACAGGAGUAUUUCUUAGAUAAGUAUUCUAAUUCUUUCAAGUGUCCCAACUUAUUAAAUUUUUUUGUGCAGUUUAUAUUACCCCACAAGGUCUACCAAACAUGUUGAUAAAGGGUUUUAAAAGAAAAACAUGACUUAAUAUAUCAGGCUUUCAUUAUCAUUAUUAUCAUCAUUGUUACAAUAAUAAUUAAAUGCAACGCAAUAAUUAGCCUGUUAUAUUCGCAAAAGUGUGCGCGAAUGAAAUGAAUGGAUAGAUUAUAGGGCAAGGACACACAGAAAAUAGGUGCAAUGUGUGGAAUUUUCAGAAGACACCACGUUUUUAAAAAUCUAGUGUCUACCAGCAGUAAAAGUUAGUGGCAAUAAUCAGUUGUGCUCUUCUCAUACAAGCACUAGAUGGCGAUGCAGUGUAAUUCCAGUUGAUGCCGUGGUUCAGUGGUACUCACUAAUUUUCUUAGGAGAGCCACUUAUGAGUAAGACCAUUACUCAAAGAGCCACAGAGAUUGCAGAUAUAACUCAGGUGUUUUUUUUUAAUCAUCACUCUGAAGAUAUUUACCAUCUUUGUGUAUGUU
Molecule: long non-coding RNA, 1373 nt
Organism: Anguilla anguilla (European eel)
Lineage: Eukaryota; Metazoa; Chordata; Actinopteri; Anguilliformes; Anguillidae
Exons: 2
Source: RefSeq, a predicted model, not a curated record